GUCAGUGUCCCUACCAAAGGUGUCAUUUUCCAAUAUACUCAUGCUUCCAUGUGCCAAGGUGAUGUUGCCUUCUUUCAUGUGCUGGACUCAGAAGGUCCUCAAACAAACUCAGCAUCAUCUUGGGCCCAAAGGUAGCAUCCAAUGGUACAAUUACCUGAAGUUAGGUCACAGCCCUCUCUCAGGGCUUUUCUUGUCAGCUCUCCUUCUAUAAGGAGUUCUCAAAGCAUCCCCCCUUCAUCCUCCUACCCACUUACCUUAACACUGAGCUACGUUCCCAGCUUCCUUGGAGGAAGUACAUACUAAGCUGAGAAAAUACUUCCCAUUCUCCUGUUCCCCAGUCUCCUCCAUAAAAGUCUACAGAAACACAGUUUUGACUCAACUAUUUCGAAGUCAAAAUGCAUGCUUUGCUUCUCAUGCUAAAACAAUCAUCUUAUUUCAGAUGUGCAGUUUCCAAAACAAUUUACCUCUGCUGGAACAAGGAAAUAAACCAAGAAAAAGGAAGAUAUGGGAUCCAGGAAGCAGAAGAUUCAAUACAGAACAGAGAUGGAGGGAAUUCCAGGUCCACAUCUGUGCAGCAGACAUGGAAAGCUGUCAGUACAGACUGGAACUGGAGGAUGGAGGGAUCUGGGAGAGAUGUCUCCAGGAAGGCAAAAGCAUGCAACUAAAAGGAGUGAUGAAUUUCAUAAUAAGUUUGACUCACAAAAAAAAGUGUACCACCAUGCUAUCAGAAGGUAUGGGAAGAUUUAGCAGUAAGUAUAAAGGAAGCUGAGCAAAUAAAAAAUCCCAAGGCAUUAUUAAUUCCAGGAAAAAUAAAAAGUUGCAUCCCCAAAGAAAGGAGUUGUGAUCAUGGUCCACUAGUAACUUACCAAAGAAUAAUAUUUAUACAGUAGUAAUAAUGUAAGUACUAAGAACUGAAUUAACCAAAAGUUGGUGAUAUAGGUAGAAAUGGGAAGAGAGAGACAUUUUAGAGGUAAAUAUUCUCUAUCAUAAUAGAAAGUUAAAUCAUUACUGUUUCAAGAGAGGAGUAUAAGCAUGGAGAUAUGGAAGUAUAUUCCAUAAGAAACAAAUACGAAUUGAAAGUAGAUAUAUAGGGGAAGAUGCAGGUUUCCUAUGAGUGGGGGGAAAUGCAGGUUUCCUAAGAGUGGGGUAAGACACCACUGUAAGCCUUUGAUUAUUAUUUGACUUGUUAGAUUAUGGGCUUCUUUAAAUUUAAUAAAAAUUAAAGUUAAGCAUUUAAAAUGUGUCUUUAGAAUAAAAUGACUUAAAGGUUUCUAUAAGAAUGAAGAGGCAAGGAUCUAUUAAACAAUUCUGAAGUUUUCAUUUAGAGUAUUUUUUCACCCAAAAGGAGAAAGAAUGUUGAAAUCUCACUAAUAGACAAAAAAUGGUGACUUUAAAGAAAGAGUUUGGUUAAGUUUUGUUUUUUGUUUUUUUCACAUGUGCCAAAUGACAUAUAGCUUUCCAAC
RNAcentral lists this long non-coding RNA (1463 nucleotides) under Marmota monax (woodchuck). Lineage: Eukaryota; Metazoa; Chordata; Mammalia; Rodentia; Sciuridae. The record is from RNAcentral.